Non-coding RNA from Podarcis lilfordi (Lilford's wall lizard), 67 nucleotides. NCBI's taxonomy places the organism in Eukaryota, Metazoa, Chordata, Lepidosauria, Squamata, Lacertidae. The record is from the annotation of a GenBank genome assembly.
GAAGCUCGGUGGUAGAACAUCUGCUUUGCAUGCAGAAGGUCCCAGGUUCAAUCUCCAGGCUGGAUUG